CGCAGGGUAGAGCAGUUGGCAGCUUGUCGGGCUCAUAACCCGAAGGUCGGAAGUUCGAGUCUUCCCCCUGCAA
RNAcentral lists this transfer RNA (73 nucleotides) under Spirochaetaceae bacterium. RNAcentral's name for it is "tRNA-Met". It matches the Rfam family "tRNA". From Rfam's summary of the family: Transfer RNA (tRNA) molecules are approximately 80 nucleotides in length. Their secondary structure includes four short double-helical elements and three loops (D, anti-codon, and T loops). The record is from RNAcentral. Lineage: Bacteria; Pseudomonadati; Spirochaetota; Spirochaetia; Spirochaetales; Spirochaetaceae.